RNAcentral lists this long non-coding RNA (279 nucleotides) under Elaeis guineensis (African oil palm). RNAcentral describes it as "long non-coding RNA (EGUI_LNC066845)". Lineage: Eukaryota; Viridiplantae; Streptophyta; Magnoliopsida; Arecales; Arecaceae. The record is from RNAcentral.
GGUCAUCAUUGCUAGAUAGUUACAUCGAUUGGUAUAAAAAGUUAUUCCUAUACUACCGACUUAAGUUCGAACCUAUGGGGUCACAUGCAUUAGAAGAUUUGAUCAGAUCAGAUGGCUGAAGAGUCCAAUUAGAUUGUGACUCUAGUGGAGUCCUACUCCGACUAGCACUCUGGGGGAGAGUCCCAUUGAGACUGAAACUUUAUUUUUUUAGAAAAUUAAUUAAUAAUUAGAUUAUAAAUUGACUCAAUUUGAUUGAUUAAGGAGUUUUGGAUCAAGUCU